UAUAUUGAAGAUAGAGAGUCGGACCUGCCCGGCGUAUUUUUUAACGGCCGCGGUACUCUGACCGUGCAAAGGUAGCAUAAUCAUUUGCCUUAUAAUUGAAGGCUAGAAUGAAUGGUUUGACAAGAAUACAACUGUCUCUUUACAAUUACAUAAAAUUUUAUCUGCAGUUGAAGAAGCCUGCAUUUGAAUAAAAGACAAGAAGACCCUAUCGAGCUUAAAAAAAACUGGUGGAAUAACAAACUUAAUCCUAACUUAUAAAUAAAUAAAUAGUCAACUACUGGAAAUUUUGGUUGGGGCGACCGGGGAACAAAAAAAAUUUCCUUUAUAAAAAUUUAGAUGCCCAAAUAUUGAUCCAGCAUUAUAUGAUUAAAGAAAUUAGUUAACUUUGGGUAACAGCAUUAUCUUUUUUAAGAGUUCUUAUCGAAUCCCGUUUGUGACCUCGAUGUUGGACC
RNAcentral lists this ribosomal RNA (452 nucleotides) under Turbinella rapa. Its description in RNAcentral is "partial 16S ribosomal RNA". It matches the Rfam family "Bacterial large subunit ribosomal RNA", at positions 1834 to 2538 of the family's 2925-position model. Lineage: Eukaryota; Metazoa; Mollusca; Gastropoda; Neogastropoda; Turbinellidae. The record is from RNAcentral.